GGCCCGUUGGUCAAGUGGUUAAGACACCGCCCUUUCACGGCGGUAACACGGGUUCGAAUCCCGUACGGGUCAUAC
Molecule: transfer RNA, 75 nt
Filed under: Bacillus anthracis str. Sterne
Lineage: Bacteria; Bacillati; Bacillota; Bacilli; Caryophanales; Bacillaceae
Also listed under: 3 other names
Description: tRNA-Glu
Rfam family: tRNA
About the family: Transfer RNA (tRNA) molecules are approximately 80 nucleotides in length. Their secondary structure includes four short double-helical elements and three loops (D, anti-codon, and T loops).
Source: RNAcentral